RNAcentral lists this ribosomal RNA (468 nucleotides) under uncultured bacterium. RNAcentral's name for it is "partial 16S ribosomal RNA". It matches the Rfam family "Bacterial small subunit ribosomal RNA", at positions 28 to 507 of the family's 1533-position model. The record is from RNAcentral.
GACGAACGCUGGCGGCGUGCUUAACACAUGCAAGUCGAACGGAAAGGCCCUGCUUUUGUGGGGUGCUCGAGUGGUGAACGGGUGAGUAACACGUGAGUAACCUGCCCUUGACUUUGGGAUAACUUCAGGAAACUGGGGCUAAUACCGGAUAUGAGCUCCUGCUGCAUGGUGGGGGUUGGAAAGUUUCGGCGGUUGGGGAUGGACUCGCGGCUUAUCAGCUUGUUGGUGGGGUAGUGGCUUACCAAGGCUUUGACGGGUAGCCGGCCUGAGAGGGUGACCGGCCACAUUGGGACUGAGAUACGGCCCAGACUCCUACGGGAGGCAGCAGUGGGGAAUAUUGCACAAUGGGCGGAAGCAUGAUGCAGCAACGCCGCGUGCGGGAUGACGGCCUUCGGGUUGUAAACCGCUUUAGCCUGUGACGAAGAGUGAGUGACGGUAAUGGGUAAAGAAGCACCGGCUAACUACGUG